UACGGAGGGCGCAAGCGUUGUUCGGAAUCACUGGGCGUAAAGCGCGUGUAGGCGGCUUGGUAAGUCGGGGGUGAAAGCCCGGGGCUCAACCCCGGAACUGCAUUCGAAACUGCCUCGCUCGAGUCCCGGAGAGGGUGGUGGAAUUCCCGGUGUAGAGGUGAAAUUCGUAGAUAUCGGGAGGAACACCAGUGGCGAAGGCGGCCACCUGGACGGUGACUGAUGCUGAGACGCGAAAGCGUGGGGAGCAAACAGG
This 253-nucleotide ribosomal RNA is filed under the name uncultured bacterium. RNAcentral's name for it is "partial 16S ribosomal RNA". It matches the Rfam family "Bacterial small subunit ribosomal RNA", at positions 524 to 776 of the family's 1533-position model. The record is from RNAcentral.